GGAGGUUGGUGGUGGACGAUCCACUCGCCAACCGGGUCAGGUCCGGAAGGAAGCAGCCCUAACGAGCCCCGGAACGGGUCACUGUUCCAGCCUCCCAC
Molecule: signal recognition particle RNA, 98 nt
Filed under: Pseudaminobacter soli (ex Li et al. 2025)
Lineage: Bacteria; Pseudomonadati; Pseudomonadota; Alphaproteobacteria; Hyphomicrobiales; Phyllobacteriaceae
Also listed under: 2 other names
Description: Mesorhizobium soli Bacterial small signal recognition particle RNA
Rfam family: Bacterial small signal recognition particle RNA
About the family: The signal recognition particle (SRP) is a universally conserved ribonucleoprotein involved in the co-translational targeting of proteins to membranes. Archaeal SRP consists of a 7S RNA and homologues of the eukaryotic SRP19 and SRP54 proteins.
Source: Rfam by way of RNAcentral